GUUGUGGGAGCCAUUGGCCGAGACUGGAGAGAGGAGACAAGGAGACGGAUUCCCUUUGUGUGUUCCCAGCACCUACCAACAUAAAGACUGAAAGCUGUUGGACUCAUGCUCAAAAGAAUCAUAGGCAAGUUGUGUUUGUCCCAUUAAGCUAACAUUUAAAAAUCAGAAGAUUUUAUCCAAAAGAUGGAUUUCCAACUUCUUUUGAAUGAUCUGGUAACAUGGGACUGUAGUCUCAGAAUGGAAAAACAGCUGACCUUUAAAGAUAAGAUGGCGUCUCUGGCAGCCAGGCUGGAACGCGGUGGGUGAUCUCGGCUCACUGCAACCUUUG
Molecule: long non-coding RNA, 328 nt
Organism: Homo sapiens (human)
Lineage: Eukaryota; Metazoa; Chordata; Mammalia; Primates; Hominidae
Source: Ensembl